CCUCAAUGGCAGAAGACUUGCUGGAGCACUUUAAGGAGGGCACCAAGGAACUUAAUUUAAGGAACAUGCUUUCUGUGUCAAUGGAUGGACCCACAGUAAAUUGGAAAGUCAUGGAUCUCCUACAACUGGAACAUGCAAUAAAUUUCUGAUCCUGA
Long non-coding RNA from Carassius gibelio (silver crucian carp), 155 nucleotides. RefSeq lists it as uncharacterized. Lineage: Eukaryota; Metazoa; Chordata; Actinopteri; Cypriniformes; Cyprinidae. The record is from RefSeq and is a predicted model, not a curated record. The transcript has 2 exons.